RNAcentral lists this long non-coding RNA (13945 nucleotides) under Olea europaea (common olive). RNAcentral's name for it is "long non-coding RNA (OEUR_LNC004406)". The record is from RNAcentral. Lineage: Eukaryota; Viridiplantae; Streptophyta; Magnoliopsida; Lamiales; Oleaceae.
UUUGUUCCUGCUCUGUCCACCAUACCGCCGUCUCCCCCAAAUUAACCCCUCAAUUAGCCAUCAACCGUGAGCCCACUAAAUUGAUGGCAGAAGUCAGCACAGGGAUAGCUUUUAGGUAUCGUUUAUUGGUGAAUUUUUUUUUUGCUAUCAAUUUACCGGGAAAUAAUGUGAAGUGUAAAUUGGGUUAUUGGUAAAACUAGGAUUCGAAUUCAAUUGAAAUUUCAGUUCAUUUACGGUGUAUUUAUUAAAAAUCUAUUUUAUUUGUGGUACGAUUAUAAUGUGGUAUAGUUAUUAAAUUUUGUAGUGGUAAAAUAAUUACUGUUUCGCGUGGGUAGUUGCUAACAAUUAAAAAGAGAUCAGACGAUUGUGUAAGGGACAAAUCUCUUGAGACAAAGUUUCAAAAAUGGAUGUUUUAUUGGCAAUGACUUUACAAUUGGAAUUUAAACAGAAAUGCCUCCAAGGGGCGCAAGUACACGAGUACUGAAAAGAAAUGUAAGUCUAAACUAAGGAACCGAAAUUACAUAUUCUCUGUUUGAGAGUGUUUGAUUCGGGUCCUUUGCUUUAUAUCUUUUCUUCCUUUUAUAUUCCUUUGAUGCUCUCUUUGUGAUCAACCGCUUAGGAUCCGCUUAAUUGCUUCAUAACUGCCCACUUUCUUCAUGGUGGCCAACUUAUCGUGGAACUUCCGUCUCUAACUGCUGCCAUUACUCUUUGUCGUUCAACCGUCCUCAACUGAACAUCCUUGAAUCUUGGAACGUGAUAAAAUUACCCAAUAACUGCUUCGAUAAUUGCACUUUUGGAUAACCAUAAUAUCUCAUGUUUGCUAAGAUCCUGGGCGAUUCGAAGGUUUGGACGAGAACAGGGUCAUAACUCUGGGCGACUGCAAGGCACUUCAUUCGCUCAGAUCCUAGGCGUCUUGUAAGUUUAGGCGAUGGUGUUACCGCGUUCGUGGGCUUCCACUGCAUUCAUUAAUAACCCUAUUUGGGCCUUUAUCCUGAAUUGCCAAGUUGGGCUUCAUUCUUUGGGCUAUUUGAAUUGAGCUGCACUUUUAGCAUGUCAACAAUUACCCCCCCAAUAUAGAAAAAUUAAUACCAAUUAUUAAUUUUUGCCAUAUUCACUUUGUGUUUCCCAACAACAUUUGAAAUUUCCAAGAAUUUCAAUCAUUAUUUUCUUCCAUAGCCUGAAAAGGUGCGACGUUGCAAACCUUUAUAACCCCCAAAUACACGCCAUUUCAUCACACUACUAAAUUACGUCUCAUUGCUUCGCGCUUCUCUCUCGCAAUAUUACUGUUCAUCUUCUUGCUUCUCUGCUACGUUUCUCAAGCAAACUUUAACAAAACUUUAUUUUGUUCCUAAUGGCUGCUUCACAAUCCCAAUCUAGUGACUCUUUCAGUUUCGAAGACUUCCAGAAACUCCUCACUCAGCCAUAUAUAACUCCUAACUUUCUUGCACCAGCCAAUACUGAAUCCAACGAGUUCUAUCUAGGUCCCUCAUUCAACAACGCCGAGGCCGUCAAACAAGUGGCGGUGGGCCAGCUGUUCCCUUGUACUCAAGGCCCUCCAUUUCUAAACUCUUUGCCGCUAAGGCCGCUUCGUGAAAGAGGUAUUCGCACUUGGCCUAAAUCUGAUGUUGUUUUCCGUAGAUGGCAUGCUCGCCUUGUGGACCAUGGUCCUACCAAGGCAAUUUUUGAUAAUGCUAGGAUUUCUGAUUUGCUAGAAAUCUCUCUUCAACCCCUUAUUUUUGAUUCAGUGCUUUUCCCUAUUGCAUUAGGUUUUUGAUCCUCUGAGUAUAAUACUUUUAUUUUUCCUCUUGGUCCAACGUCCAUUACUUUAAGGGAUGUUGGGGCCUUAGUAAAUUUACCACCUUUGGGUGAUACCAUUUUCCCUGGUAUUUUGAUUUUUGGUAUUGACAAAAAAAUCACCGAGUCCUAUUCAAGCCUGUAAGGCUGUUAUAAUCACUCGAACGCUGAGAGUGUGGCCUUUUUUCAGAUUUGGCUUUGUAAAUAGAUUCUGUGUGUGCCAAGCCUGAAACCUUCUAUGAGCUAUUUAUCCAUAGCACACGAAUUGACGCGUGGUAGGCCUCUGAAUUUGUGUUCUUUCUUUUUAGCCGCCCUUUAUAGAGGCAUGACUUCUCUCCAAUUCCAAUUGAAGAAUGGUGCAUCUCCCACUGACAGUGGGCCUCUUUGGUUCACUCAAAUGUGGUUGAGAGCCUAUUUUCCAUCACUUGGUACUCUAUCCCUUUCCCUUCAUUCUGCUAGUUGCUAUGGGCUAGCUAUUGACCCACUGAGCCCUGUACAUAUGUCCAAAAGGGAUAUUUUUUCAUUCUUUUAUACUUUGAAUUCAAUUCCUUCUUUCUUUCCUUUUUCUCCCUUUUAACUCCUGAUUAUGUGCACCCCCCCAUCUACCCUGGAAAAUGCGAGCACCUCUCUGCUCGUUUGGUUUCAGUUUUUGACCGUGAGGGAGGUGUUCCAUGAUAUUUUGACUGGAACUAAUGCCAAAGCUGGGGUUGAAAUAUAUGUUCCCCAAUUUUUUGUUCGUCAACUUGGUUUCGGCCAAACUUGACUUGUUCCCCCUUGUUAUUCAAAAAAUUUGAUAGAUCGCUUCUACACCAUAAAUAAGGCAGAGGCAGAAGUUAUAAAUGCUCGCAAUAUUCUUUUGACGAGUAACUUUUCAUUAGCUCCUUUCAAUCCUAGCCAUGCCACCCAUCCCCUUUUUGAACAACUCUAGCCAUCAGUGCAGCGCCGAUUGUUUGCAACUGAUGUCAAUCGCGCUUUCCAUUUACUGGAUCAGCCGGACAUUUCUUCCACUUUCCCUGUUUUGGUCACCCCUGCGUCCAUUAGGAGUCCUUCCUCUUCUGGUCGUGCUAAACAGUCUAUUCGUCCAUCUACUUCCCUUCCUGCCAAGCCUACUGCAUCUAAAAGUAUCCCAAACCGCAAACGGCCAGCCUCAGCAUCUCCCAUUUUGGAAGAUGAUGAUGAUGAUGAUGAUGAUGACACUCCUCUCAUUGUCAGGAGAAAGGUAAUUAAAUUAGUUUACUCACAAGCAUACCUUUCUAUACUUGAAACUUUUCUAUGUGCUGAUGGUUUAUUCGGAUUUCUCAGAAAAGCUCAGCCUCUCCUUCAAAGGCUUUGGUGUUGGCAGCUCCUACUCCAUCACCCUUUGCUGAGGCUGUUUCAUCCAAACCAGCUGAUGAAGGGACUACGUUUAAAGAGAAACCUUCAGUCCCGAAAUCCUCAUCACAACCAAUGGAUGAGCCACCUUCUUCUCAGGGCGUCAACCCCCCAAACGUUGAACCAGAAGGUAAUAUAUUUUUUGAUGUUUUACCUUUGCUUGUGCUAUUGGUUUUUGAUUUGUUGCUUUUUGAGCUUUGCAGAUGCUCCCAUGGGUUUGCUCAUUAUGGCAAAGUCUUCUCGCUCAGACAAAGGGACGUCUUCAGAAGUGGUGGAGCCACAGGUGGUAGAUUUGGCUGGGGAUAUGCCACCUCUCAAGAUCGCUGAUGAGGUAAUCUCUGCUUCACUUUUACUUCCACUUUGUUCAUUGUAGUGAAAACUUUCAAUGUUGGCAACUUUAUUUGUAGGAUACUGAUAAGAUUGUGCGUUCCAUCCAGGACUUGUUCACUUCCUGGGGGCAAGUCAAGAUGUCUCGCCCUGCUUCAACCAGUCGUCCUUCUGCUUCUUCAGAGGAAGAUAUGAAGUUCCUCAAGCAGUCAAUAUUUGAAUAUGUGCCCUUUAUGGAUAUGGAUAUCGGUCAGGCUAGUGCUGCCAAACAUAAGGAUAAGCUUGAGCAUUUGAGUGCGAAGUUGGAGCAAGAACUGACACUUCUGUCGCUCAAUCUUUCUACUGAUUUUAAAGUGAUGUUGAAAGUUGUCCAUUCUGAGGUUCUCUCCUUACUGAAGGCCAAAAGUACUCAAUAUCUUCACGCUGUAUCUGAAAGAGAAUUUUUGCUUCUGGAGAUCAACAAAGCUAAAGACGAAUUGAAAGAAAUCUCUUCUGAAAUCAUGAUUGAAAACUCUUUGAUGACCAAUUUGGCUGCACAAAUGAAGGAGCUUCAAGCAAAGAUGGACGACUGCAAGGCGAGAAUGGCUGCCAAAAAAUGCAAUGCCUCCCAAGGAAUUGAGCGAACAAAGUCUUUGGUCGAGCAGUACAAGAAGCUAGAGGUUGAUGAUGAUUUUGUGGCUGAAUUGAAUGUCACUUCUUCUCAGCAGAGCGAGAAUUGGGGGAGACUUAGGGAAAGGAUUCGUUCAGUCUGGGAUGAUUUGUAAUUAAGACAUCUAAUGCCUUAACUUUUCUUUUCGUAAUUUCAUAUUAAUUUUCCCUUUGUAACCUCGCACUAAAUUCUGAACAUACCAGCAACCAUUAUCAUUAAUGAACGAUUAACUUGUCUUCUUGUGUAUUUAUUGACGUUGUCUUUAAUCGUCAACCCCCCAAACAUUUAACUGCUUUAUGCUAAGAUUCAUGUACAUUUUCUCUUGGUAUUUUUGUCUCUUUCCCCAAGAUUUCAGGCCAUUUGAUUCUAGUUACUAGGUACAAAUGUGGUUGUUCAUAUUCUGUCUCUUCACCUUCACGCCUCUAUAAAUGCACUUAUAUUCCACACUUGUCAUUUUCACUUCCAUUUUCUUCUUCAAAACCAAUUUGCUGCCAUUGUUUGGCAUUUUGACAAUUGAUCCAAAACCUUCGUCUUCCAUGGAAAUGGAUCAUUUGAUCCGUCCAUUUUGCCAUCUUUCUUGAUGCCACUUUUGAUAUGGGAGAUAUAGGAAAUAUUCUUUGGCAAAGUUCUUCCCAUCGUCUCCAUAUUCCUUACAAGGAGUUCGAUGAUGGAAGACAAUUUUUGAGGACGCCUACAAGCCACCUUGCUUGCUGAGAGUGCUUCUCAGCCUCCUUGCCUGUCAUUGUAGCGAUGCAUUUAGGAAGGCAAAUUGAGGGUGCUUCUUCUUCCUUUCUACUUGCUGAGAGUGCUUUUUGACCUCUCUGUUUGCCUUUGCAGCAGUGCGAUCAGGAUGGCAAUCAAGGCCAGUACACCCUCUUACUCGGCGAUCGACCGAGAGAUUAGUUUGCUCUUAAUUGUAAUUUAUAGAAUAUUUAACAUUUUGUAUUUUGCAACUUUGUAAUGAACGUUUGAUAAUAAAGGAAUUUAUUUGAACGUAUUUCGCUCUGGCCCUUUUUUCUCUACGAUCGUUCAAUGCGAUUUGAUUACGCUUUCAUUUGUUCUCUUUUCCAUAAGGAGGGAACAUAUUUUUUUUUAUAAUAUUUACCAUUAAUGAACCUUAUGUGCUUGGUGCCGUCUAAAUCUUCCAAAUGAUAGGCUCCAUUAGGCAACACAUUAUUUACUUUAUAUGGUCCUUCCCAAUUGGGCGACCACUUGUCAUACUUUGGAUCUUUGCUAUCCAAAGGGAGUACUAUUUUCCAAACCAAUUCGCCCAGGCUGAACGACUUGGCUAUAACCUUUUUAUUAUAAAAUUUAGCCAUUCUUCGUUUUUGAACUUGUAAUCUAUCUAGGAUGUCCAACUUUAAUUCGUCCAACUCCAAUAAGUUUUGAACCAAUGAUUCAGUAUUCUCAUCACCACUUAACUUAUGUUGCAAACACACUCUGAUUGAUUGCACGUUGAUUUCCAUAGGCAAAAACGGCAUCUUGUCCAUAAGUAAGUUGGAAAAGAGUAAUUUUUGUACUUGACCGAGGUGACGUCCUAUAAGCCCAUAAGGCCUUGUUUAGACAUUCGUGCCAAUUUCUGGCAUUUUCAUCUAUCAUUUUCCUUAUGAUAUUUUUUAGAAUCUUAUUAGAAGAUUCUGCUUGUCUGUUGGAUUGAGUGUAAUAUGGUGUUCACUAAUUUAACUCCAAACUUGCCCAAGAAUUUAUUCACUUGAUCCCCAUUUAAAGAUGUUCCGUGAUCUACAAUCAAAGUUUGUGGAAUUCCCAAUCUAUAAAUGAUGUGGUCACGGAUAAAUUUUAUGACAUUCUUUUGAGUGAUCUCCUUUAAAGGUAUCGCUUUUACCCACUUAGUGAAAUAAUCAGUUGCAACUAUAAUAAAUGUAUGUUGUUUGGACGAUGGGGGAUAAAUCUUCCCUAUCAGGUCUAUCGCCCAACCCUUAAACGGCCAAGAUUUGAUAAUAGGGGCCAUCUCUCGUGCUGACGCCCUUUGUAUUGGACCAUACUUUUGGCAUGCUAGACAACUCUUUGCAUACUGAAUGCAUUAUUCUCCAAUCUUUGGCCAGAAAUAUCCAUUCUUAAUAAUUAACCAUCUCAUCCUUUGGCCAGUUUGGUGAGCUCCACAUAUCCUUUCGUGCACUUCAGCCAUGAUCGUCCUGACUUCUUGCAAACUUACACAUUUUAGCAAUAUACUAUCAGAGCGUUUCUUAAACAACUCUUCAUCUAUCAGUGUAUAGUUUAGCAAACGCAACUUUAUUUUUCUACUAUCUCCUUUAUUAGGUCCUUUAAGAAACCUUUUGAUCUCUACCCUCCAAUCUAUUGCAUCUCCAUCUUGUAUACAAUGAAUUUCAAUCGUUUUCGCCCUUCUUUGGAUCACGGGCAAUAUUGUUACAUACUCACAAGCAGACUUCCAAUUAAAAACCUUUGAGUACCCUGAGGCCAUCUGGGCCAAUUCGUUUGCUACGUCAUUAUAUAUCCUAUUAACACAUUUUGAUGCUCUUUUUUCCAGACGAAUUCCUCCUAAUUUUUUAACUUUAAAAGCGGCGAAAAAGCUUUAGUUCGCCGCCCUGCACAGUUAGAAAUAAAGCGUCUUAAAAAGUUUACUUGGCCUAGAAACCUUUGCAAUUCUUUUUUAUUGUUAGGUGGUUUGGCCUCUAAAAUGGCCUUCGCUUUAUUUUUAUCAAGUUCAAUCCACCUCUUAUGUACUAAGAAACCAAGAAAAUUCCCUGCAUUAAUACCAAAUGCACAUUUCAAGGGAUUCAACUUUAGUUUAUAUUACCUCAUUCGCUCAAAUGAACGUCUUAAUUGUUUAAAAUGGUCCUCUUCUUUAAGGGAUUUGACUACUAUAUCAUCUACAUACACUUCAAUAAACUUGCCUGUCAUAUCAUGAAAAAUCAAAUUCAUUGCCAUUUGAUAAGUUGCUCCUGUAUUUUUCAGGCCGAAAGACAUAACUACCCAUUCAAAACAUCCUAGAGACCCAGGGCAUCUAAAGGCAGUUUUGUGUAUAUCUUCCUCAGCUAUGUAAAUUUGAUUGUAUCCUGAAUACCCAUCCAUGAAGGAAUACAUCACAUGUCCGGCAGUCAAGUCUACUAAAGAAUCUACUGUAGGCAUUGUAUAUUCAUCUUUAGGUGUGGCUAUGUUUAAAUUCCUAAAAUCUAUGCACACCCUUAGUUUACCAUUCUUUUUUAAUAUCGGUACGAUAUUGGACAACCAUUCAACAUAUCUGCCCGUUCUAAUAAAGUCUGCUUUUAAUAAUCGCUCUAUCUCUUCCUUAAUUUCAGGGAGUACAUUAGGAGCGAAAUGCCUAGGAGGUUGCCUAUGGGGUUUAAAAUUAGGCUUGGUUGGUAAUCUAUGUUCCACCAAAUCUCUAUCUAAACCAAGCAUAUGUUCAUAUUCCCAAACAAAACAAUCUUUGUACUCCUUUAAUAAAGCGAUUAAUUUAUCACUAACCUCUUGAUUGAGCAUUUGGCUGAUGAACGUUGGGCGAUCUUCUCCUUCAUUGCCAAUAUUCGCCUUAAGCAGGAGGUCUUGUGCUUGAGCGUAUCCAGGCUUGACGAUCCUUAUCACUUCGUCGUCCAGUUCCCUUGUAAGCACUUCUUCUUCUAAACAAUCCACCUUGUUGAUUUCUCGACCAAUAUUUUGUUCCAACUCGAACACUGCCAAUUUGUCUCUCAAUGCUUUCAAGACUGCGGCUUCUUUCAUCUUGUCCUUGCAUUCUUCAUUGAAAGCCAUUAAUUUGGCUUUGAAGGCCUGAAUAUCGACCAUCUGUCUUUGUUGCUUACAACUCAUUUAAAACUCCUUGAUUAUUUUUUUGCCAAUUACUGGCUCCUCCAGGGCCAUUAUGUUUGGCCUCAUCUGAUUGAACAUUUCAGUGAGUGCAUCAACCGAAAACGGCUCUUCACUCUGCGCGACGAUCUGAGUUUCUUUUCCAUCAUGGACUACUCUGACAAGUCCAUAAUUUCCUUCGUACAUGAACCUUUCCACUGAGUUUGCUUCUGCAACAAAAGGCCUAUGAUCGGCCUGUACCACCUCUGCUUCGCCCUUGUCAUUCCAAAAAACUAGGCAUUAAUGGAGCGAGGAAGGUAUACAGCGACUUCCGUGUAUCCAAUCUCUUCCUAAUAACACAUUGUAACUAGUGAGACCAUCUAUUACAAAGAAGACUGUGGUCCUAGUAGUUGUUCCUAUAGUUAUAUCCAAUGGCAUAACCCCUUUAGCUGAAGUUGCUCCUCCAUUGAAACUUGUCAGGAUGACUUUCGUUGGAAUCAUAUCACCUUCUGUCUUUGCGAAUUUCCUCAUCAUCCUAGAUAGAAUGGUGUUUAUAGCUGCUCCAUUAUCGACAAGCACUUUUGCCACAGGUAUGCCGUUAACUAGAGCUUUAACGUACAAUGGCCUCAAGUGUUUGAUCAAUUUCAUGGCUGGUCGCUUAAAAAUAACUUUUUUCGGCAGCACCUAUUUCCACUUCCUGCUUGUCCUCUAUCGAGUUACCUUUUUUUGAUAAGUCAACGUGCAGCAUAUCGCACUGAGCCUCUGUCUCCUGAAUUUCAUUUUUACUGUUUUCUAAUGCUUCUUCUUCAGUUACCCAACCUGUGGGAGGAGGCAUUAUUCUUGGAGGUAAUCCAUACUUUUCAGAGCGAGGUACUCUCUUCUUCCUUUUAGGCAUCCCGUACAGCACGUAAAAAUCAAAAGAACGCCCAGAUGGUUCUCCCAAUAAGUCUACUUCACGAACUCCCUCUCGAUGUAGUUGCUUCAACAGAGUGUUGUACGAUACUCCUCUUCUUCUUCUUUCUGCCUCUAGAUCAAUUUUCUUCUCGAUGUCUGUCAUACCAUCAUCUUCUUCACCAUUGUAGGCUUCUCUAGAAGUUUGGACUUCUUCAUAUUCCAACAUGCAUGCUUCCUCUUCGUUAUCCUCUUUUUCUUCUUCUCCUUUCUCUUUAUUCUUGAACUCAUUGGCUAGUAAAUAGUAAUUAGCCACAACAAGAAGUAACGUACCAAAUUGGAUAGUAAGGGGUUGAUCUGGAUCUUCUGUAUCCCCUCUGUCUUUCUCAAACUUCGACUUCCCAGAAGAAGUCUCUGGCAAUUCUUCCAUAGGUUCGCCUGUACCAGUCUCUUCACUGUCUUUGAGAACAUUCUCAUUAGCCGCUUCGAGUAGUCUAUAUGCCAUAGGACGCAGCAUUCCCUGUUGUUGCCUCAUCAUUCGCCCGUAGUUCCGUUGAAAAUGUCUUUGUUGGGUUCUAGUCAUCUCAUUGAAAGGUAUUGCCCUUCCAGCCUCAUACUGGAAAGAAUGCCAUACGUUUGGUUGGCGAGGUUGCGAUCUAAAUGUUCUCCCAUUAUUUACUGGCCUGAACUGCCUCUCAAAAGGCGGUCCCUUAUAGAACGAUGUACCGUACCUUCUACCAGGCUGAGCGUUUGGGAAAAAACUAGGGCGAUGGUGAUGCUGCCAUAUCCUUGGUUUCUUUGCAUUUACACUCACUUCUUUUUUGCACCUUACACAUAGGACGUCUUCGUCCUUUUUGGGUUCUUUCCCUUUGAUACGUUCAAAGACACUGGGAUGUGGUCCAGCUUCUUCUUCUCCAUCAUCUAUAACCAACUUGAAUUUUGACAACUUGUUUCUGAAACCAGACGUCACCAUGUUCAUUCCAAGUGGCUGUGGAAAAGGAUUUUCAUCCACUGCCAUCUUCCUCUUAUCCUCGAACGUAAUUCGUCAUUUUUCAAUGGCAUCGUGUAAUACAUGGCGAAAAAUCAAAUAAUUGUUAGUCAAAUGUGACCAUGCAUUAUGCCACUUACAAUAUUUUUUACCCUUAAUUUGUUCAGGGCUUGGCAAUUUAUGCUUAUCGCUCAACUUUAUUUGUUUAUCCUUAUAUAAUUUAUCAAAUAUAAGGUUAGCUUUGGUUACAUUGAACGAGAACGUUCUAGCCUUUAUGUUUUUAUCUUUUAUAGGCUCAUCUUUGCCUGACGGUCUAGGCUUAGCCAUUAUAGGACAAGUAUACGUGUCUCCUUUAACUAAUUCGGCCAAACACAUUUCGGUUUGAUCGUAAUACUCGUCGUUAAUGGUAUGAACAUCAAAAUUUGGGUCUCUAUAAUAAGUUCCUUUGCUAAAAUUUUUCAUUUGUUCUUCCUCUCUUAUUAAUUGUUCUUACCUAAUCACGUUCACGCUCAAUUGGAAAAGAUCAGAAAAUUCAUUGUCUUGGAACUUCUUCUUCAAAUCAAAGCUUAGACAACCUUGAGCGAUUUUGACAAACUUAUUUUCGGGCAAAGGUACAAAACAUUUAUUUCUUGCUGUUUUAAACCUUUGAAGGAAACCUUCUGCCCAUUCGUUUGACAUUUGACGUAAAUUCGCCAAAUCGGCCAAAUUAACUUCAGACUCAGUCUUAUAAAACUGAGCAUGGAACGAUUGCUCCAAUUGUUACCAUGUUUGAACAGAGUUUGCUGGCAAAUUGAUGAACUAAGAGAAGGCUACUCCUGUUAAUGAACUAGGGAAUAGCCUCAUUUUAUGGUAAUCAGUUACGUCACCACUUUGCAGUGUGAAUCGCCCUAUGUGUUCUAGAGUAGACACCUCUCCUAAAUCGGUAAACAGUGAGAAUUUUGGCACUUUAUACCCUCUAAGCCACGGAUACGCUUGGUCUACCCAAUCAGAAUAUGACUUUGUGUAAGUCGGCCUAAUGAUAGGAUGUACUCCGAAAGCCAUCUAGUCCUGUACUAUUUCCAUAAUCUGAUUCCUCAACAUGACGUUGGGGUCAUAUGGAAUCCCUACAGGUUGGUUGACCAGUUGAUUUGCUUGAGGCCUGAUGUUUGGUCCUUGAUUGGGAACAAAGUUACCAUAAUUUGGGCCAUUGUUACCAUUAGCCCAAACAUUUAUUCCCUCAUUAACACGUGGGGUAUUCUGCCCAUUAUUUAGGACAUUAUCUCUUACAUUUGGAUUACCCCCCCAAGUUAGACGUACCAAUGCCACUAUUCUGAUUCAGUAUUGCACUACCCCCUUGGUUUGAAGUAGAAGGAUCAAAAGGUGGUUCUACCCAUUGAUUUAAACUUAGGACUGGGGGAUUAUGUCCCACAAUUGUCCUAGUUUGAAAGUGGUUUGUAAGAGGCACAACUGGCUGACAAAUUUGGCCUACCAACUUAUUCAUUAUUUCGUUCAAAGUAUUCAGUUGUUUGGCCAUGUUGUUAUAAUGUGCAUUCCCAUUCUGGGUAAAUCUUUCCAUAUUAUGAAUACUUCGUAAAUUUACCUGUUCAACAACAUCUUGUGUGAGUUCUCCGAGUAAUGCACGCAUGGUUCGAGGACUCAACUCUGUCAUUGGUUCGUAGCGACUGUGAUUGCUCUGAUCCUGUCUAUCUGUUCGUGGAGAGCUAUGCUACUCCUCAUAUCGCUCAAUCACUUGCUAUUUCCUUAUCGAAUUUCUAAGGCAUAUUGUUUCACCUUUUGUAUCUUCAACACCAAACACCAAUGUCCCACUGGGCGUGUCAAAUUGUUUCGCGCGGGUAGUCGCUAACAAUUAAAAAGGGGUCAGACGAUUGUGUAAGGGACAAACCUCUUAAGACAAAGUCCCAAAAAGGGGUGUUUUAUUGGCAAUGACUUUGCAAUUGGAACUUAAACAGAAAUGCCUCCAAGGGGCGCAAGCACACGAGUACUGAAAAGAAAUGUUUUAAGUCUAAACUAAGGAACUGAAAUUACAUAUUCUCUGUUUGAGAGUGUUUGAUUCGGGUCCUUUGCUCUAUGUCUUUUCUUCCUUUUAUAUUCCUUUGAUGCUCUCUUUGUGAUCAACCGCUUAAUUGCUUCAUAACUGCUCACUUUCUUCAUGGUGGCCAACUUAUCGUGGAACUGUCAUCUCUAACUCCUGCCAUUACUCUUUGUCGUUCAACCGUUCUCAACUGAACAUCCUUGAAUCGUGGAGCGUGAUAAGAUUACCCAAUAACUGCUUCGAUAAUUGCACUUUUGGAUAACCAUAACAUCUCAUGUUUGCUAAGAUCUUGGGCGAUUCGAAGGUUUGGGCGAGAACAGGGUCAUAACUCUGGGCGACUGCAAGGCACUUCAUUCGCUCAGAUCUUGAGCGUCUUGUAAGUUUGGGCGAUGGUGUUACCGCGUUCGUGGGCUUCCACUGCAUUCAUUAAUAACCCUAUUUGGGCCUUUAUCCUAAAUUGCCCAGUUGGGCUUCAUUCUUUGAGCUAUUUGAAUUGGGCUGCACUUUUAGCAUGUCAACAAUUACCCUUUUCUUAUAUUGCAAAAGGUGAAAAUUUGUUCAAUUUGUGAUAGUUUUAAAUAAAGUUUACUAACAUAAUUCCUAGCUAAUUGUAAAUUGAAAUGAAUUGUAAGAUUCAAGUGAAUUGAAUUGGAACGAGAGCCAAGUGUAAAUUCUAUCUAAUUAUCAAUUGCAGGCAAUUUGUCCUACUAAUUUAAAUUGUUGAGGAAGUUAAUCAAAUUGAGUCCUCUUGUGAUGAAUAUAAGUAGUCUAUGAAGAUUUGUACAUAAUGUUUGUAUGAAGAAAGAAAUAUUCAUCAUUUUAAUGAAAUUUUUAUAGAGUAGAUGAAUAUGUAUUGGUAAAUGAAAUUUUGAAAUUGUCUUAAUUGGUAAAUAAUGGCUAGAUUUUGUUGCCAGUGGAUUUUGUGCUACUUUGUCUAUUAUUGCAAUAUGUAUCAAACUGAAAAUGAAAAUUAAAGAGUUAUGAUGCAUAUGUUGACAGAACACCAAUAUAAACUCCCCCUCAAGAACUCGAGACAGUGCUCUAAUCUACGCCCUAAACUAAAAUUUUCUUUAUAACAAAAUCUCAAAAGGGCUUAGCUUCAAUACAUAUGGGAUAUGGCUCUGAGUAUCAUCCAACUGGCUUAGUGUCAUAUGUGUAUAUGACAAGGAUGUAUCAAGAUGCUAAAAUUCAAAUCUACAAAGCUAUCUUGACUAUUUGUAGCUAAUUACUGUCGGUGUUCGAGAGAACUGAUUGGCGAAGUUCAUGUGACCAUGACUUCAUUAACUUUGACUCUUGGACAUCCUAACUUAUUUCACCACAAAUGAAAUAUGUAAAAUGCAGCGUGCUGAAUCCAUUUGCUUGCUGGCCCAAGAUUUGAGUUGGUAUUAUUUCUUUCGUUUUCGCAAACAGUUUUUUGUGCUUAUACCUUAUUGUGACAAGUCCAAACUGGUUCAUUUGAAGAACAAUGUGGAAUUAUAGGGAGACUAUUAAAUGGAAAGUUGCAAAAAUCAUUGACUAGACCAGGCUUAGGCUAGGGAAGCAAGGAUCUUCUUAGUUCAGAAACUUAUUCCCAUCAUAUUGUUUCAAUUUUAAAUUCGUUAUUUAGUGUAGAUUUGAGUAUGCCAUGCAGAUAAAUCAACGUAUAUAAUUACAAUUGUUGUCUACCUAUCAGAAUGCUACAUUAAUGUAGUUUUGUGCAUAAUUUCUACAAUGUUACCUCUUUGGCUUCUAUUAGUUUUUCUUUGAGAAAAUUGAGGUUGUUAAAGUUCUUAUACUAACACUUGUUGCUGUCGUGCCAACUUCAGCAGCAUCAAAGGGAAGAGAUGUUAAAGGCAAAUAGAGAAAGCGACGGGAUAGGAAGGAGGCAGAGAAUGCGCACACCACUCAGGGGCUUUGUCGUGUUCGACUUAUUCAUGGUCUUGUUCUUCAAUAAUGUUAGUAAAAUAUUGUAAACUUGUACUAGAUUUCCUGAAUGGUUGAUGCACUGAAUGUAUGGUUAAUGCUUUAGUACUGUUAAGUACUUCAUUUCUAGGAUAUUACCGUUUUGUACUAGAUUUCCUGAAUUUCAGUUAGUUUAAUAAAAUAAGUAUGUUGACAGUGAAUAUCGUGUGUAUUUUUUCCCUUUGAAAAC